Molecule: ribosomal RNA, 444 nt
Filed under: uncultured bacterium
Lineage: Bacteria
Description: SSU rRNA
Rfam family: Bacterial small subunit ribosomal RNA
Source: RNAcentral
AGAACGAACGCUGGCGGCAGGCUUAACACAUGCAAGUCGAGCGGGUAGCAAUACCAGCGGCAGACGGGUGAGUAACACGUGGGAACCUUCCUAGAGGUACGGAACAACGCAGGGAAACUUGCGCUAAUACCGUAUGUGCUCUUGCGAGGAAAGAUUUAUCGCCUUUAGACGGGCCCGCGUCGGAUUAGCUAGUUGGUGGGGUAAUGGCCUACCAAGGCAACGAUCCGUAGCUGAUCUGAGAGGAUGAUCAGCCACACUGGAACUGAGACACGGUCCAGACUCCUACGGGAGGCAGCAGUGGGGAAUCUUGGACAAUGGGCGCAAGCCUGACGCAGCCAUGCCGCGUGAAUGAUGAAGGUCUUAGGAUUGUAAAAUUCUUUCAGCGGGGACGAUAAUGACGGUACCCGCAGAAGAAGCCCCGGCUAACUUCGUGCCAGCAGCCGC